CGCAUGUUCACGGUGCAUUUUUUAUGGAAUAUGUUGAGCAAACCUGGAGAAGCGUCAGCUCAAGAUAUUAUUGUUGUCAUUGCUGUGGAUCUUUACCUGAUACACUGACUUGGCUUGGGACCAGCACUCCUGUUGUUGGACAGAAAGACAUCAACUCAGUGACUUGAGAUAUGACUGCACUAUGCUGUUGCUGGUGACCACAGUUAAUUCUACAAGACAUGCUGUGACAACAGGAGAGAUGAGUCCUCCGUCACAGAUGGUGUGGUCAGUGAAGAUGGUCGCCUGCAGGUUCAAGCUCAUUGCAUCUCCAACCCACAUCCACUGCCACUGUACUUAAGGGAAGUUAAAGACUUUCUUCUGCACUUACAUUUGGAUCACCUCGAUCCAUGACAGUCAUUCAGGCAGUAAUGCCUGGACUGGAA
Long non-coding RNA from Oreochromis aureus, 422 nucleotides. The record is from Ensembl. Lineage: Eukaryota; Metazoa; Chordata; Actinopteri; Cichliformes; Cichlidae.